Molecule: ribosomal RNA, 597 nt
Filed under: Halomonas sediminicola
Lineage: Bacteria; Pseudomonadati; Pseudomonadota; Gammaproteobacteria; Oceanospirillales; Halomonadaceae
Description: bacterial SSU rRNA
Rfam family: Bacterial small subunit ribosomal RNA
Source: RNAcentral
CUGGACUGACACUGACACUGAGGUGCGAAAGCGUGGGUAGCAAACAGGAUUAGAUACCCUGGUAGUCCACGCCGUAAACGAUGUCGACUAGCCGUUGGGUCCCUUGAGGACUUUGUGGCGCAGUUAACGCGAUAAGUCGACCGCCUGGGGAGUACGGCCGCAAGGUUAAAACUCAAAUGAAUUGACGGGGGCCCGCACAAGCGGUGGAGCAUGUGGUUUAAUUCGAUGCAACGCGAAGAACCUUACCUACCCUUGACAUCGUGCGAACUUGGUAGAGAUACCUUGGUGCCUUCGGGAGCGCACAGACAGGUGCUGCAUGGCUGUCGUCAGCUCGUGUUGUGAAAUGUUGGGUUAAGUCCCGUAACGAGCGCAACCCUUGUCCCUAUUUGCCAGCGAUUCGGUCGGGAACUCUAGGGAGACUGCCGGUGACAAACCGGAGGAAGGUGGGGACGACGUCAAGUCAUCAUGGCCCUUACGGGUAGGGCUACACACGUGCUACAAUGGCCGGUACAAAGGGUUGCGAAGCCGCGAGGUGGAGCCAAUCCCGAAAAGCCGGUCUCAGUCCGGAUCGGAGUCUGCAACUCGACUCCGUGAAGU